GAUGAACGCUGGCGGCGUGCCUAAUACAUGCAAGUCGAGCGAACGGACGAGAAGCUUGCUUCUCUGAUGUUAGCGGCGGACGGGUGAGUAACACGUGGAUAACCUACCUAUAAGACUGGGAUAACUUCGGGAAACCGGAGCUAAUACCGGAUAAUAUUUUGAACCGCAUGGUUCAAAAGUGAAAGACGGUCUUGCUGUCACUUAUAGAUGGAUCCGCGCUGCAUUAGCUAGUUGGUAAGGUAACGGCUUACCAAGGCAACGAUGCAUAGCCGACCUGAGAGGGUGGUAGGACACACUGGAACUGAGACACGGUCGAGACUCCUACGGGGGGCAGCAGUAGGGAAUCUUCCGCAAGGGGCGAAAGCCUGACGUAGCAACGCCGCGUGAGUGAUGAAGGUCUUCGGAUCGUAAAACUCUGUUAUUAGGGAAGAACAUAUGUGUAAGUAACUGUGCAGAUCUUGACGGUACCUAAUCAGAAAGCCACGGCUAACUACGUG
RNAcentral lists this ribosomal RNA (497 nucleotides) under uncultured bacterium. RNAcentral's name for it is "partial 16S ribosomal RNA". It matches the Rfam family "Bacterial small subunit ribosomal RNA", at positions 28 to 507 of the family's 1533-position model. The record is from RNAcentral.